Molecule: transfer RNA, 77 nt
Filed under: Labilibaculum antarcticum
Lineage: Bacteria; Pseudomonadati; Bacteroidota; Bacteroidia; Marinilabiliales; Marinifilaceae
Also listed under: 4 other names
Description: tRNA-Met
Rfam family: tRNA
About the family: Transfer RNA (tRNA) molecules are approximately 80 nucleotides in length. Their secondary structure includes four short double-helical elements and three loops (D, anti-codon, and T loops).
Source: RNAcentral
GGGCCUAUAGCUCAGCUGGUUAGAGCACCUGACUCAUAAUCAGGGGGUCCAUGGUUCAAGCCCAUGUGGGCCCACCC